RNAcentral lists this ribosomal RNA (425 nucleotides) under uncultured bacterium. Its description in RNAcentral is "partial 16S ribosomal RNA". It matches the Rfam family "Bacterial small subunit ribosomal RNA", at positions 354 to 796 of the family's 1533-position model. The record is from RNAcentral.
GUAGGGAAUAUUAGAAAUGGACGAAAGUCUGAUCUAGCAACACCGCGUGUGCGAAGAAGGCCUUCGGGUCGUAAAGCACUUUUUGGAAGGAAUAGGAAGGAAUGUACUUCCAGAAUAAGUCUCGGCUAACUACGUGCCAGCAGCCGCGGUAACACGUAGGAGGCAAACGUUAUCCGGAUUUACUGGGCGUAAAGCGCGUGUAGGUGGUACUGUAAGUAGGGCGUGAAAGCUCCUGGCUCAACUGGGAGAGGCCGUUCUAAACUACAGAACUAGAGGAUGGUAGAGGGACGUGGAAUUCCAGGUGUAGCGGUGGAAUGCGCAGAUAUCUGGCGGAACACCGGUGGCGAAGGCGGCCUCCUGGACCAUUCCUGACACUCAGACGCGAAAGCUAGGGUAGCAAACGGGAUUAGAUACCCGAGUAGUCC